CUUGAUGGAGCCGAGCCACAGGGGCCGCUGCUGGGACCGCGCCUUGCCGUAGGUGGCGAGCAAGGCCUGCGCCUC
Chondromyces crocatus is the source of this 75-nucleotide non-coding RNA. It matches the Rfam family "ASpks TB sRNA". NCBI's taxonomy places the organism in Bacteria, Pseudomonadati, Myxococcota, Polyangiales, Polyangiaceae. The record is from Rfam.